RNAcentral lists this ribosomal RNA (468 nucleotides) under uncultured bacterium. RNAcentral's name for it is "partial 16S ribosomal RNA". It matches the Rfam family "Bacterial small subunit ribosomal RNA", at positions 28 to 507 of the family's 1533-position model. The record is from RNAcentral.
GACGAACGCUGGCGGCGUGCUUAACACAUGCAAGUCGAACGGAAACGCCCUGCUUGUUUGGGGUGCUCGACUGGCGAACGGGUGAGUAACACGUGCGUGACCUGCCCCUGACUUUGGGAUAACGUCAGCAAACUGAGGCUAAUACCGGAUAGGAGCUCCUGCUGCAUGGUGGGGGUGGGAAAGUUUCGGCGGUUCGGGAUGGACUCGCGGCUGAUCAGCUUGUUGGUGGGGUAGUGGAUUACCACGGCUUUGGAGGGUAGCCGGCCUGAGAGGGGGACCGGGCACAUGGCGACUGAGAUACGGCCCAGAGUAGUACGGGAGGCAGCAGUGGGGAAUCUUGCCCAAUCGGGCCAAGUGUGGUGCAGCAGCGCCGCGUUCGGGAUGACAGACUGCGGGUAGUAAACCGCUUUCUCCUGUGACGGGGCGUGAGUGACGGUACCGUAUGAAGAAGCACCGGCUAACUACGUG